UCUUUAAUUCUCUCUGAUUUCUUUGCUGACUCCACCUUUCUUUCCCCGCAUUUUCUUUUUUCUCUUUGUCUCCUCCCCUUCUUCACCGAGCCAACCUUCUCUUCUCUUCCUUUUCAUCGCCAAAGCCUCCGAGUUUUACUCUCUUCUCUUCCAUCCUUGCCCAAGCGCCAGCGACACUCGAGCCACUGCCGAUCGAACCUAUCUCCCUCUGGAAUCUCAGCCGACGCCGCUCUCCCAUCUGCUUAGAUCCGUCGACCACCAGUCGUCGGCAACGACGCCGACGAGCGCGACGAGUAGGGAGCAACGCUAAGUGCAGGUUUCCUCCCCUUCGCUGGAGACCAGGUCGAUGACGCAGUCGACCCCUCGUUCAGCCGCCGUGCCCUAGCAUCAGUUGCCGAUUCUUAUUUUUCUUACUCUCUGGUCGUGGGGAUCUUGAUGCUGCGGUUGGCUCCGAUCAACAUUAUCGUAGACAGAAGAUAGCUUCCUUCAUCAGAUCCUUGAUCACCACCGUUAAUUGGAGAGUAAUCUGCAGAUCUAGAUUUGGGCAGGUAAAAAAGAAUAGGGCAGCAGUAAACCUCCGUUGACAGCUGCGUAUUACCAUUAACCACCUUCGAAUUGGGGUUUCGGAUUCGGGACGAGCACAUCGACAUGGAGGUUGAUUAGCUCGAUUUACAUUGGAGGCGGGUAUUUUGACUUUAUGUCAUUUGAUAUG
Zingiber officinale is the source of this 712-nucleotide long non-coding RNA. RefSeq lists it as uncharacterized. The record is from RefSeq and is a predicted model, not a curated record. NCBI's taxonomy places the organism in Eukaryota, Viridiplantae, Streptophyta, Magnoliopsida, Zingiberales, Zingiberaceae. The transcript has 3 exons.